GUACUGUGCGAACGGUUAUUCGGGAAUCACUGGGCUUAAAGGGUGCGUAGGCGGUUAAUUAAGUAGGGGGGUGUGAAAGCUCUCGGGCCCAACCGAGGGAAUUGCGCUCUAAACUGAUUAACUUGAGUGAGAUAGGGGUGUGCGGAACUUCCAGUGGAGCGGUGAAAUGUGUUGAUAUUGGAAGGAACGCCGGUGGCGAAAGCGGCACACUGGGUCUCAACUGACGCUGAGGCACGAAAGCCAGGGUAGCGAACGGGAUUAGAUACCCCGGUAGUCCUGGCUGUAAACGAUGAGCACUAGACGGGAGGAGCUUCGGCUCAUCCGGUCGCAGCGAAAGCAAUAAGUGCUCCGCCUGGGGAGUAUGGUCGCAAAGGCUG
This 377-nucleotide ribosomal RNA is filed under the name uncultured organism. RNAcentral describes it as "partial 16S ribosomal RNA". It matches the Rfam family "Bacterial small subunit ribosomal RNA", at positions 527 to 896 of the family's 1533-position model. The record is from RNAcentral.